GGGCCCGUAGUAUACCGGUAAUACGCGUCCAUGGCAUGGAUGAAUAGAGGGUUCAAUUCCCUCCGGGUCCACUA
RNAcentral lists this transfer RNA (74 nucleotides) under Candidatus Woesebacteria bacterium RBG_13_36_22. RNAcentral describes it as "tRNA-Ala". It matches the Rfam family "tRNA". From Rfam's summary of the family: Transfer RNA (tRNA) molecules are approximately 80 nucleotides in length. Their secondary structure includes four short double-helical elements and three loops (D, anti-codon, and T loops). Further hydrogen bonds mediate the characteristic L-shaped molecular structure. tRNAs have two regions of fundamental functional importance: the anti-codon, which is responsible for specific mRNA codon recognition, and the 3' end, to which the tRNAs corresponding amino acid is attached (by aminoacyl-tRNA synthetases). tRNAs cope with the degeneracy of the genetic code in two manners: having more than one tRNA (with a specific anti-codon) for a particular amino acid; and 'wobble' base-pairing, i.e. permitting non-standard base-pairing at the 3rd anti-codon position. RNAcentral also lists the same sequence under 2 other names. Lineage: Bacteria; Candidatus Woeseibacteriota. The record is from RNAcentral.